RNAcentral lists this long non-coding RNA (341 nucleotides) under Malus domestica (apple). Its description in RNAcentral is "long non-coding RNA (MDOM_LNC016296)". The record is from RNAcentral. Lineage: Eukaryota; Viridiplantae; Streptophyta; Magnoliopsida; Rosales; Rosaceae.
UCCUUGAUCUCCUUCUUGCUCUGCUCGUCAACAUACUUCUGGUAAAACGCCACAAGGGCCUUGGCGAUGCUCUGACGGAUGGCGUAGAUCUGGGAGGUGUGGCCCCCGCCUUUGACUCGGAUCCUCAUGUCGACGCCGGCGAAGCGCUGUCGUCCGAGCAGCAGGAUCGGCUCGUAGGCCUUGAAUCGGAGGAUCUCAGGCUCGACGAGCUCGAUUGGGCAGCCGUUGAUCUUGAUCAGGCCGCGUCCACGCUUGCAGUAGGUCACUGCCACCGCCGUCUUCUUCCGACCGAAGCAUUGCACGGACUCGAUAGCUGGGGCCGCCAUGGUGUUGCUCUCUAG